This 1221-nucleotide ribosomal RNA is filed under the name Natrinema salifodinae. Its description in RNAcentral is "bacterial SSU rRNA". It matches the Rfam family "Archaeal small subunit ribosomal RNA", at positions 243 to 1467 of the family's 1478-position model. Lineage: Archaea; Methanobacteriati; Methanobacteriota; Halobacteria; Halobacteriales; Natrialbaceae. The record is from RNAcentral.
AACGGCCCACCGUGCCAAUAAUCGGUACGGGUUGUGAGAGCAAGAGCCCGGAGACGGUAUCUGAGACAAGAUACCGGGCCCUACGGGGCGCAGCAGGCGCGAAACCUUUACACUGCACGCCAGUGCGAUAAGGGGACUCCACCUGCGAGGGCAUAUCGUCCUCGCUUUUCUGCACCGUAAGGUGGUGCAGGAAUAAGUGCUGGGCAAGACCGGUGCCAGCCGCCGCGGUAAUACCGGCAGCACGAGUGAUGACCGCUAUUAUUGGGCCUAAAGCGUCCGUAGCUGGCCUCACAAGUCCAUCGGGAAAUCCGCGCGCCCAACGCGCGGGCGUCCGGUGGAAACUGUGGGGCUUGGGACCGGAAGGCCAGAGGGGUACGUCCGGGGUAGGAGUGAAAUCCCGUAAUCCUGGACGGACCACCGGUGGCGAAAGCGCCUCUGGAAGACGGAUCCGACGGUGAGGGACGAAAGCUCGGGUCACGAACCGGAUUAGAUACCCGGGUAGUCCGAGCUGUAAACGAUGUCUGCUAGGUGUGGCACUGGCUACGAGCCAGUGCUGUGCCGUAGGGAAGCCGUGAAGCAGACCGCCUGGGAAGUACGUCCGCAAGGAUGAAACUUAAAGGAAUUGGCGGGGGAGCACUACAACCGGAGGAGCCUGCGGUUUAAUUGGACUCAACGCCGGACAUCUCACCAGCAUCGACAGCAGGAGUGACGAUCAGGUUGAUGACCUUAUCAGACCUGCUGAGAGGAGGUGCAUGGCCGCCGUCAGCUCGUACCGUGAGGCGUCCUGUUAAGUCAGGCAACGAGCGAGACCCGCACUCCUAAUUGCCAGCAACACCCUCGUGGUGGUUGGGUACAUUAGGAGGACUGCCAGUGCCAAACUGGAGGAAGGAACGGGCAACGGUAGGUCAGUAUGCCCCGAAUGUGCUGGGCAACACGCGGGCUACAAUGGCCGAGACAGUGGGAAGCAACCCCGAAAGGGGACGCUAAUCUCCGAAACUCGGUCGUAGUUCGGAUUGAGGACUGAAACUCGUCCUCAUGAAGCUGGAUUCGGUAGUAAUCGCCGUUCAGAAGACGGCGGUGAAUACGUCCCUGCUCCUUGCACACACCGCCCGUCAAAGCACCCGAGUGGGGUCCGGAUGAGGCCCUGUCACCAGGGUCGAAUCUGGGCUCCGCAAGGGGGCUUAAGUCGUAACAAGGUAGCCGUAGGGGAAUCUGCGGCUG